This is a long non-coding RNA of Condylostylus longicornis, 323 nucleotides long. RefSeq lists it as uncharacterized. The record is from RefSeq and is a predicted model, not a curated record. Lineage: Eukaryota; Metazoa; Arthropoda; Insecta; Diptera; Dolichopodidae. The transcript has 2 exons.
UUAUUUUAUUUUUUUUUUUUUUUUUAGAAAAUUACAACUCGUAAACAGUUUGCCGGAUCAUAUAAGAAUGUACGGAUGGAAUAGAACUAGUUUUAAAAGUAAAGAGGAGGAGUACUUAAAAUCAAAUUUGUAGUUUUCGUGUUGGUCGACCUAUUUGACCUAUAUAUUUGCUUUUCGAAAGGCAAUUAUUCAAGGACAUUUAUUUCCUUUUAUACCGAAACCACAAUAUUAUCGAUACGCCGCCUAUAUGAAGGAGGAAAUUAAAAUAAAUGUAAAAGUUAAUAACAUGACCUUCACAAUAUAAUCAACUGCUUUAAUAAUAU